Molecule: non-coding RNA, 100 nt
Filed under: Janthinobacterium agaricidamnosum
Lineage: Bacteria; Pseudomonadati; Pseudomonadota; Betaproteobacteria; Burkholderiales; Oxalobacteraceae
Also listed under: 1 other name
Description: Glycine sequence
Rfam family: Glycine riboswitch aptamer
About the family: This family represents the bacterial glycine riboswitch. Glycine riboswitches usually consist of two metabolite-binding aptamers domains with similar structures in tandem. The aptamers cooperatively bind glycine to regulate the expression of downstream genes.
Source: RNAcentral
CGCACGAUAUCGGGAGAGCCUGUUCAGGAAAUCGACCCCGCGCAGCGCCGAAGGAGCAACCGCCCCGGAAACUCUCAGGCAAAAGGACCGAUAUUGUUUC